AUUGAACGCUGGCGGCAGGCUUAACACAUGCAAGUCGAGCGGGGGAAGGUAGCUUGCUACCGGACCUAGCGGCGGACGGGUGAGUAAUGCUUAGGAAUCUGCCUAUUAGUGGGGGACAACAUCUCGAAAGGGAUGCUAAUACCGCAUACGUCCUACGGGAGAAAGCAGGGGAUCUUCGGACCUUGCGCUAAUAGAUGAGCCUAAGUCGGAUUAGCUAGUUGGUGGGGUAAAGGCCUACCAAGGCGACGAUCUGUAGCGGGUCUGAGAGGAUGAGCCGGCACACUGGGAAUGAGAAACGGCCCAGACUCCUACGGGAGGCAGCAGUGGGGAAUAUUGGACAAUGGGGGGAACCCUGAUCCAGCCAUGCCGCGUGUGUGAAGAAGGCCUUAUGGUUGUAAAGCACUUUAAGCGAGGAGGAGGCUACUUUAGUUAAUACCUAGAGAUAGUGGACGUUACUCACAGAAUAAGCACCGGCUAACUCUGUGCCAGCCGCCGCCGUAA
Molecule: ribosomal RNA, 501 nt
Filed under: uncultured bacterium
Lineage: Bacteria
Description: partial 16S ribosomal RNA
Rfam family: Bacterial small subunit ribosomal RNA
Source: RNAcentral